RNAcentral lists this ribosomal RNA (448 nucleotides) under Holcosus undulatus (rainbow ameiva). Its description in RNAcentral is "partial 16S ribosomal RNA". It matches the Rfam family "Bacterial large subunit ribosomal RNA", at positions 1926 to 2575 of the family's 2925-position model. The record is from RNAcentral. Lineage: Eukaryota; Metazoa; Chordata; Lepidosauria; Squamata; Teiidae.
AACGGCCGCGGGAUCCUACACCGUGCAAAGGUAGCAUAAUCACUUGUCACCUAAAUAGUGACUAGUAUGAAUGGCCCCAUGAGGACUUUCCUGUCUCUUGUAACUAAUCAAUGAAACUGAUCUUCCAGUUCAAAAGCUGAAAUAAACCCACAAGACGAAAAGACCCUGUGGAACUUCCAAAUAUUAAUCAUCAAUAUGACAAAAUAUUUUUAGUUGGGGCAACUUUGGAACAAAACAAAACUUCCAAUUAUAGGAUUUAAGCCCACCCUAACAUAGGUCCACACACCAAAUUUUUUCCUAACCUAGACCCAGCACCGCUGAUUAAAGAAACAAGCUACCCCAGGGAUAACAGCGCCAUCCCCUCUUAGAGUCCUAAUCGACGAGUGGGGCUUACGACCUCGAUGUUGGAUCAGGCCCCCCAAACAGUGCAGCAGCUGUUAAAGGUUUG